UUUGUUUAAAUUAAGUAACCAAAUUCUUUCUUACAAGGAUAAAGUUGCCAACUCUUCUAUUUUUUUUAUACAAAACAUUACAGGCUGGGCAAUAGGAAUUCUAACGAUUUUAUAACAGUUUCUCCCCUCAUGACACCUGAUAUCAACAACAAAGUUGAAGAUUCAUUCCCAUUAAGUAGGAAAAAAUUGUCGUUACUUUUGCAAGAAUUCUGGAAUUUCGAAAGGAAAUUGAUUGGUACUAUGUUGGAUGCACACACUGUUUGAAGACUGUCAUGCCCUAUUUUAAUCCAGAAACAGACGAAUGUGACCUCAAUAAGUAUUCAUGCCAUCAUUGCAACAAGGAUGAAACUUCCACAAGUAUAAGGUGCAAAGUACAUGUUAAAAUUGUUGAUCAUACUGCUGCAACCGCUUCCUUCCUUUUGUUUGAUAGGGAAGUUAUCCAACUUAUUCGUAAGUCUGCUUAUCGUAUAGUUAGUUGUAUACGAUAGAGAUGCUAAUCACAAUAUACGGUUAUAUUUGUAGGAGAUAUUUUAGGCAAGUGAUAACUCCAUAUUUAACAUUAUUACUCCUAAUAGAUCUUACGUAACCGGCUCGAGUCUUGGCAGAUAUGCAUCUUUUUUGCAGGAUUUGGGUAAACCAAGAGUGUAAAAACGUUAACUGAAACAACUAACUAAAUAACCUUACACAGUUGUUACAUAUUUAUAAUACAUAAACUGAUCAAGUUAACGAUUGAUAUAAAAAGUAUUGUGCAUGACGGUAAAACUUAAAAGCCAGAUGCGGGAAAAACCAAAAUAGACCAAUCUGGUUGUGUCACUGCAAGUUUGCGUUUUCCUUUAGGGGCUGCAAUCUCUUAGUCCGCUUCUAUAUAUUCAGUUACUUGAAUCAGCAAACAGAGAGAAAA
Molecule: non-coding RNA, 901 nt
Organism: Camelina sativa (false flax)
Lineage: Eukaryota; Viridiplantae; Streptophyta; Magnoliopsida; Brassicales; Brassicaceae
Source: RefSeq, a predicted model, not a curated record